UUGAGCUGCAUGCGGGGAAACUCGCACGUGCAGUUCUUAGGGGGGCGCGGCCUGGAAACGGGCCGCGCCUACCCGAC
RNAcentral lists this non-coding RNA (77 nucleotides) under Rhizobium sp. PP-CC-2G-626. The record is from RNAcentral. Lineage: Bacteria; Pseudomonadati; Pseudomonadota; Alphaproteobacteria; Hyphomicrobiales; Rhizobiaceae. RNAcentral also lists the same sequence under 1 other name.